GGAUACAUCAAUGACUUUAUAGAAGAAGAGAAAUAGGAGGCAUAUUGUAACUCUGAUUCACAGUUUCAGAACAACAACAUCAAUGAAUAAAGAGACCGUGCUCUAGAGUUCAACUUCAGCCAAGUUGCAAGGACAAGAGACUUAGAUCUCAGAGCUCAGAUGCUUCUUCUGCUCCUCAUGUUUGAACAGCAGCUGAGCCAUGUAGGAGAAAGCACUCCCAGAAAAAGGAGCUCCAGGCAGAGACUGCUGCAACACAGUUCUUGAACAUCCAUUGACAUUAACCUUGACAUGGCUCAAAUGAUAAUGAAACUGGUCUCGGGUGCAUCUUUACAUACUCUCUGUUAUCAUCCCAGGGUAAAUAAUGUGAGCCCAGUAUGAUGAUGUAAUUGAAGUACUCUUCAAUAUUCACCAUUUGUACAGCUGUCGUGGCUUAACCCCUGCUGGCAACUCAGCAUUACUCAGCAAUCCACUCAGUCUCCCCUCCCACAUGGAAUGGGGAGGAGAAUUACAAAAAGGUAAAACCUGCGGGUAGAGAUGAGAACAGUUUGAUAAUUCAAACAAGGUGAAAUAUAAUAAUAAUAAUAAACUAUAACGAGAAGGAGAGAGAAGAAUAAGACCCAAGGAAAAAGGUGAUGGAGGAUAGAAUUAUUCAAUACCUGCUGGCUUGUGCCAAGCCCAUCCCUGAGCAGGGAUUGGCAGAUCCCAGCUAACUCCCCUCAAUUUAUAUACUGAGCAUGACAGUUUAUUUCAUGGAAUAUCUGCUUGGCUAGUUUGAGUCAACUAUUCUGGCUAUGCUCCUUCCUGGCUUCUUGUGCACCUGCUUGCUGUCAGAGUAUGAGAGUCUGAAAAGUCCUUGAUUUAGAGAAAACACUACUGAGCAAAAACCAAAACAUCACUAUGUUGUCAACAUUACUCUCACACUAAAUCAAAAACACAGCUCUGUACCAGUUACAUGAAAGAAAAUUAACUCUGUCCCAG
Non-coding RNA from Zonotrichia albicollis (white-throated sparrow), 978 nucleotides. NCBI's taxonomy places the organism in Eukaryota, Metazoa, Chordata, Aves, Passeriformes, Passerellidae. The record is from RefSeq and is a predicted model, not a curated record.